GACGAACGCUGGCGGCGUGCUUAACACAUGCAAGUCGAACGGAAAGGCCCUGCUUGCCGGGUGCUCGAGUGGCGAACGGGUGAGUAACACGUGGGUGAUCUGCCCCUUACUUUGGGAUAAGCCUGGGAAACUGGGUCUAAUACUGGAUAGGACCAUGCUGUAGGUGGUGUGGUGGAAAGAUUAGUUUCGGUAAGGGAUGAGCUCGCGGCCUAUCAGCUUGUUGGUGGGGUAAUGGCCUACCAAGGCGUCGACGGGUAGCCGGCCUGAGAGGGUGGACGGCCACAUUGGGACUGAGAUACGGCCCAGACUCCUACGGGAGGCAGCAGAGGGGAAUAUUGCACAAUGGGCGCAAGCCUGAUGCAGCGACGCCGCGUGGGGGAUGACGGCCUUCGGGUUGUAAACUCCUUUCAGCCAUGACGAAGCCCUUGUGGUGACGGUAGCGGUAGAAGAAGCACCGGCUAACUACGUG
This 469-nucleotide ribosomal RNA is filed under the name uncultured bacterium. RNAcentral's name for it is "partial 16S ribosomal RNA". It matches the Rfam family "Bacterial small subunit ribosomal RNA", at positions 28 to 507 of the family's 1533-position model. The record is from RNAcentral.